Molecule: unclassified non-coding RNA, 298 nt
Filed under: plant metagenome
Description: partial contains 5.8S ribosomal RNA, internal transcribed spacer 2, and large subunit ribosomal RNA
Rfam family: 5.8S ribosomal RNA (bases 1-104)
Source: RNAcentral
AAAUGCGAUAAGUAAUGCGAAUUGCAGAAUUCAGUGAAUCAUCGAAUCUUUGAACGCACAUUGCGCCCCCCAGUACUCUGGGAGGCACGCCUGUCUGAGCGUCAUUUCACCACUCAAGCCUGGCUUGGUAUUGAGCGCCGCGGCCUGCCCGCGCGCUCCAAUGUCUCCGGCUGAGCCGUCCGUCUCUAAGCGUUGUGAAUAGCGAUCGCUUGCGAGGCCCGGGCGGUUCGACGCCGUUAAACCCCCCAUUUUCUAUGGUUGACCUCGGAUCAGGUAGGGAUACCCGCUGAACUUAAGC